UCAUAGACUGGUUUGUGAAUAGGGAAGUUUAUAGUUUGAAACAUAAUUAGUUUCCUGGCAAUACUAAAUAACCUUUCUUCGUUUUCUAUGUAUGCUUUAAAAUAAUUAACUAUAGCAAACAUCCUCUUUUAUGUAUAUCUUAUGAGAGUUAAGAAGAAUCCUGAAGGGCCCACCAACAGAGAUGCAGUCAUAGCUGGGCUAUCUAAGGUUUUACCGGUCAGGUAAAGAGAAAUGGCCUUUGCCUUUCAGACGUUGGAAAGGCUGGAAUCGAUUCCCUCCCAAUGAAGCCCUUAGUAUGUACUUACCCCCUAACAAGUAGGUAAUGAAAAAUAGCCUACCGGGAAAGGGAGACAAGAAAAAGAUAGCUUGUGUCAGCAAGUAUCUUAAUUGCAAAAUGGAAGCCAAAACAGAGGGUUAAAAAUAGAACAGUUGAGCAUAGAAUGAAAGAAAAUAGAUUAAAAAAAAAAAGCUAUACCCCUGAAACACUCACCAAAGGCAAAUACACACCAGACAAAUGCUCAUUAGAGUCAAAACAUUCACGUGGGGUUCAAUAGCAAGUCUUUGGUGCUGUUCUUCCUUUUAUUAAUUGAGCUCUGCUCCCAACAUAUUCCUAAUCUCAGCUAUAUCAUCCCCUACAGUUGGGAUAGCUAUGCGCGAAUGGAAGAUCGUGUAAAAGUGGCAAGAUCCAGCUUCUUACCAGGAUACUCCUCAAGACAAACAGAGAGCUGACUUGAGUGGAUGUGUAUUCCUCUCCUCUCUCUGAUUAUCUUGAAACGGUAAACAGCGGCCAGGGCAACUGCUACCAAUUGAGUGCGAACUCCUGCAAUGCCCGCAUCUGACUUUCUACUCAACAGAAAUAACUCCUUAAGUGGGGUUGCCUUUAUGGCUUGUGUUCUCUUUUAUUCCAUGUCCCCUAACUUUAACUUUUAAUAUCCAAAUAACCUACACUAUAGCUCCAGUUCAUCAGAAACAUAAACUCAUACUUGUGUUCUGUGUAAUAAAUAAAAUGUAGUAUAUAAAUAUACAGUUCAAAUGUUCAAAAUGAAAACUGGCAGUUAUAAUGACCAUGGUCUUGCGAAUUAAGCUACAAAUAAAAAGCAA
This 1101-nucleotide long non-coding RNA is filed under the name Rattus norvegicus (Norway rat). Its description in RNAcentral is "long non-coding RNA NONRATT034064". The record is from RNAcentral. Lineage: Eukaryota; Metazoa; Chordata; Mammalia; Rodentia; Muridae.